GCAGGAUGUCCUCAGAGCUUUGUUAAAUGUUAUAGAGAUGAUGAGGUGUUUAGUUUGAUCAAAGGCAGCUGAGCAGUUGUCUGUCUCAGUUCAGCAGGCUUAGCUGUGGAGUGCUGUCACUGACUGUGACAUCAUGUGGGGACAGAGGCUGUGUAACUGACUGGGAAGAGGGAGGUUCUGAGCCAAGAUGGUGGAGUGAUAAGUACAGCCAACUGAGGACAGGCUGGAGCCAAAAUGGUUAAUUGCUUCUCCUACAGCGAAGAAGAGCUUAUCACUGUUUUGUUGAAGGCACUUUUAAUCUGGACGUAUCACUUGGAAAUAUGAGUUGGCUUGAGAAGAAACGGAAAAUGGGGGUGAGAGAUGAAGAGAUGAAGAGUAAGAAGGGGAAAUGGAGGAGACAGGGUGAAGGGACUUUGAAAAGGCUCUUUCUGCACAUUACAGGGGUUUCCAUGGCAACAAUAUAGCAGGGCCUGGCCUGCUAAAGUUCCCUCACUGCUUUAGAGGACACAGCUAAUGAGGAAUUGAUCAAUAUGGAUGGAUUGUCUGGGUAUUGAGCACCUUUACAAAUGAAUAGGAUUCCUUAGUGAAACACAGCUUGAUGAUCUCGGGACUGACUAUGCAUCUUCAAUACAUGAACCUGUGCAUGAAACAAAAUGCAUUCAUGCAUAAGACACAUAGCUAAGUAGGGAGCUUCAAUUCUGACAUCAGACUCAGCGCAAAGGCAGAUCAAUUGAAGAUCCUCACUCUCUGUCAUGUGAUAACAAAAAGAUAUUUGUAGCAAAGCAAAUUGAAAAUGGGUGGCUACUUGAGAAAAACACCAGAUUUGCAUGAUUUUUUAUUACUGAAAAGAGACAAUCUGUCCAAUAAACAGAUGAAACUCUUAAAUUAUCA
Molecule: long non-coding RNA, 891 nt
Organism: Silurus meridionalis
Lineage: Eukaryota; Metazoa; Chordata; Actinopteri; Siluriformes; Siluridae
Exons: 4
Source: RefSeq, a predicted model, not a curated record